GUAAUUGCACGCGUGUUACACGCGGGAGAGUGUUACAUGUGCAGCCUGAUCCAUGCCCUGUUUUUUCAAGCUAAGCAACUCUUCGUUCUCUCUCUCUCUAACCGGUCGAGGGUCGGGGGGCAGGGGUAUCCGUUCGGAGGAGAGAGAGAGGAGAGAGCACUCGGGAGAGAGGGGGCGCUGAGGAGCGGCGGCGGCGGCGGUGCCGGUGAGCGCGGCCGGCUAAGGCAGCUCAGGCUGUCGCCCACCGUCUGACUUCUGGAAGGGAGCGAGACGAGGAAGGAGGGUAGGGAGGUCUAGGCCGGAGGGCGCGAGCGACGGCUGGGAGUCGGUACCGAUCCCAAUGCCCGCGCCGCAGGGGAAGCAGCGGCCGCUCCGAAACCGCCGGACGCCACCGAGCAGGGCGGGUGCACACCGAGGCGGAGUACCUGCAAGGAGAAGUCGCCGCAGCGGCCUGAUCGAGGUGCGCGCCCAAGCGGUUCCACUCACGCUACGACUACUCUCUGCCGUAGGCUCCUGUAGUAGUGCGAGUUGAGCUCGACGAGGGGGUGGCAGGGCGUCGGGCGACGACGAGGGUGGGGGGCGGGGGAGAGGAGAGGGCAGCGGCCCUUUACCGAUGUGGUGGUCGAGGCGGCGGAGUUGCAGGAGCUGGUGGUCCACGGAAGGGUCUGGGCGCCAGAUAGAUAGGGGGCAAGACGAGCUAACACGCCUAAAAAAAAGGUUACAGCUAAACCUCUACUCGAUCGUCAAAAGCUAUGCUAGUUUAAACGACCUGAUCGGAACACCUCAAAAAAAAAGGCAUCAGCCACCUAAGCAGCUCUUUUAAUUCGGAAAAGCACAUAGUCGAAACUACAAAGACAUAUUGUCCAAUUGGUUUUGAAACGUUCAACUACGAGAGUCCCAUCCUGAGGCUUCAGACUGUUCGUGAAGGCGAAGUUGGUCUCAGUGGAUGUCGUUAUCCACGAGGUUACGUAUAAGCUGAACAACACGAUGUCUCGGUCACGAGGUUACGUAUAAGCUGAACAACACGAUGUUUCGGUCUUCGCGAUGGUCACCUUUGUGGGAGUAGCCUAUACGAACAACUAAGGAAGCCCUCCGGAUGACGUAAGCCUAAAUAACAAGGCAUGACCUUCACGGACUUCUCGAACUUAGCAGGUAAAACAUAAUCUUACUCUAAAUUCUAAGUCAUGUCCUCAGUUCUACAAUUACUCUCCGCUAGAUCUUACUAAUGUCCAUAAUUACUUCAUCUGGGGUAAUCCACCUAACCAAGUUUUACCUUUUCGGACGACCAUUCUACCCUACUACCGAGUCUGACAUUGUCGGUUUUAUUUGGUAGAGGUACCCUCUAGCUCUAUCAACCACCGAGUCAGAGGUAACGGGUCAGACAGUUUUAGGUCAAGAUUUGAUCGAUUUGACACGGGAGCCCCGUUAAAUCUGCAGAGUUUGAUUUCGUUGAGCUCAACGCCACCACCAGGCGUUGAGGUAGUGGCAGAAGGAGCCGUCCUCGUAGGCGGCGACGACGAGCGGCAGACAGGUGCCGUGGCCACAACCAGAGGAAGAGUGGAAGGCACGAGAGAAGGGUAGGGCGGAGGGUGACGGCGGUGGUGACGAGCUCCUACGGGACACCUAAACCUAAAAAGUGUUAGCCAUGUGUCAUUUCAUGAAAACCUAACCGGCCCGCCACUCGACGUCACGGCGAUCGAGCAGCUGCUGCCGAUGCUACGGUAGACACCGCAGGGAACCAAGAAAGAGGAGCUGUAGCUGGAAGAACUGCCAUACCAGAAGGAGGAGAAGGGGAGGGAAUUAAAGAUACCAAAAAUUCAACCAAGUCAUCAACUAAGUGCCAGGUACUCAAACCUAUUUUGCUGUCCGCCGCCGUCUUUCUCGGCAAGGUGCUGCUUAGAGACCAUGUUACCGAGGAAGGAGCCAAAGGGGCCAAGACCUAAGUUCAAGGAUUAUUUACCUAUGACAAAAAAGAACUAACACUGAAAACCUUAAAAAAUAAACUAUCUACUCUCCCGUUCGUUUUCCACUAGUUAGUUACCUCUGCUUCAUAAACAGUUUAACGAACGUUCCCACCACUCUUAAAUAACCAGCAGUAAACAGAUCACAGUAUUAGAAUCUCGGAAAAGACUAAGAGAUCUUACAACCUUGUCAGAACAACAAAGUCAAAUGUAAACCUACCAGUACCAGACACGUCUACUUCAAGAAAACCUAAUUAAAAAGGUGGGAUUGUCAAGGAAGGGACAAUAUAGAGUCCGACAUGCUAGAGACGUCUAACGGCGAAGAAACAAGACGGCCACCUCCAAGUCACAUAGUAACGUUCAAGGAAUGUGGCCGUUUAAGUCAUAAAAACAUAAAAAACCUGCGUGCGGACAAGAAGCUGAUAUUUUGUCGUCUCUAAAGAAAAAAAGAGCUCAGAUUAGUAAAAAACUACGUAACGUCGAAACGAUAGUUUGAGAGUUUUUCCUUUUUCGUUGAAAUAAGAUUAAAAACCUCUAGGAAGUACAUCUCAGUGAUGGAGCUGUCUCUGUUUAUACGUUAGCUCUUAUAUAAGCUACCCAAAAGUGAGGAGUCCGUUUCGAACCUCCUAUAAAAAUGACCAAGUUGCAAACGAAAUAACGAAAGAAUGGAAAGCAAGAAGUUCUGUUAUAAAAGGAUCGUCACGAGCUAUUGAAAUUUAGGUAGAAAAACAAGAAACGUAAUAGUGUUUUGUCACAACAAGAUGGAAAAACAAAAACUUAAAACUAACUAGUACUCGUUGCUGUUACGUUGGAUGUUCAUUGAUAAUACAAAAGAGGUCAGGAGACAGGUAUAAGAUAAUUAACCACUGAAUAGAUAUGCAUCAAUUAUGUGAGCCAACAUCAAAAUAUAGUACAAAGGAAAUCCAAACAUGCAUCCUACAAGGAAAAUAAAAAAUCUGAGAUUACAAGGACUACUGAUGUAUGUAGAACGACAAAACCUUUGACGAAGAACCCUUAUUACAACCUAGAAAGGACUCUACCAAAUGAUAUAAUUAGGGAACUUUAGUAAUCCGGUCAUUAUUUCCAACGUAAAGUAGUGUAACUCCAUUGUAAGAUUAAACACGAUAGAGUCCAAGUCUUCCAACCACUUUGGGCUUCCAGUGCCCUAGUUGUGGAGAACCACGUUUGUUGGAAAGUGAAUACUAUAAACAUAAGACAACUUUGACGUUUUAUAGUAAGGUCCCAACUUACGGAUUUACAACUAUAGACGUACGAAGAUUUAAAUGUAGCACUUAGUAUAAAUACGACGAUGCAAAAAGGGUUCUAAACAUAAUAAAGCA
RNAcentral lists this ribosomal RNA (3301 nucleotides) under Triticum aestivum (bread wheat). RNAcentral's name for it is "partial small subunit ribosomal RNA". Lineage: Eukaryota; Viridiplantae; Streptophyta; Magnoliopsida; Poales; Poaceae. The record is from RNAcentral.